GAUGAACGCUGGCGGCGUGCCUAACACAUGCAAGUCGAGCGAAGCGCUGUUUUCAGAAUCUUCGGAGGAAGAGGACAGUGACUGAGCGGCGGACGGGUGAGUAACGCGUGGGCAACCUGCCUCAUACAGGGGGAUAACGGUUAGAAAUGACUGCUAAUACCGCAUAAGCGCACAGGACCGCAUGGUGUAGUGUGAAAAACUCCGGUGGUAUGAGAUGGACCCGCGUCUGAUUAGGUAGUUGGUGGGGUAAAGGCCUACCAAGCCGACGAUCAGUAGCCGACCUGAGAGGGUGACCGGCCACAUUGGGACUGAGACACGGCCCAAACUCCUACGGGAGGCAGCAGUGGGGAAUAUUGCACAAUGGGGGAAACCCUGAUGCAGCGACGCCGCGUGAAGGAAGAAGUAUUUCGGUAUGUAAACUUCUAUCAGCAGGGAAGAAAAUGACGGUACCUGAGUAAGAAGCACCGGC
This 469-nucleotide ribosomal RNA is filed under the name uncultured bacterium. RNAcentral describes it as "bacterial SSU rRNA". It matches the Rfam family "Bacterial small subunit ribosomal RNA", at positions 28 to 497 of the family's 1533-position model. The record is from RNAcentral.